GAUGAACGCUAGCUACAGGCUUAACACAUGCAAGUCGAGGGGAAACGCCAUCGAAAGCUUGCUUUUGAUGGGCGUCGACCGGCGCACGGGUGAGUAACGCGUAUCCAACCUGCCCACCACUUGGGGAUAACCUUGCGAAAGUAAGACUAAUACCCAAUGAUAUCUCUAGAAGACAUCUGAAAGAGAUUAAAGAUUUAUCGGUGAUGGAUGGGGAUGCGUCUGAUUAGCUUGUUGGCGGGGUAACGGCCCACCAAGGCAACGAUCAGUAGGGGUUCUGAGAGGAAGGUCCCCCACAUUGGAACUGAGACACGGGCCAAACUCCUACGGGAGGCAGCAGUGAGGAAUAUUGGUCAAUGGACGAGAGUCUGAACCAGCCAAGUAGCGUGCAGGAAGACGGCCCUAUGGGUUGUAAACUGCUUUUAUAAGGGAAUAAAGUGAGUCUCGUGAGACUUUUUGCAUGUACCUUAUGAAUAAGGACCGGCUAAUUCCGUG
This 492-nucleotide ribosomal RNA is filed under the name uncultured bacterium. RNAcentral describes it as "partial 16S ribosomal RNA". It matches the Rfam family "Bacterial small subunit ribosomal RNA", at positions 28 to 507 of the family's 1533-position model. The record is from RNAcentral.